RNAcentral lists this ribosomal RNA (271 nucleotides) under Gammarus sp. t TM-2021. RNAcentral's name for it is "partial 16S ribosomal RNA". Lineage: Eukaryota; Metazoa; Arthropoda; Malacostraca; Amphipoda; Gammaridae. The record is from RNAcentral.
GCUAAGGUAGCAUAAUCAUUUGUUAUUUAAUUGGUAACUGGAAUGAAAGGUUAAACUAGCUUAUUAAGUUUGUGGGACUAAAUAGGAGUUUAAAGUUAAGGUAAGAAUGCUUUAAUUUUUUAGGGGACGAUAAGACCCUAGAAGCUUAACGAGUAGCUGUUUUGUUUUAUAAACUUGUUCGUUUUACUGGGGCGGUAAAAAUAAUUAAGCUAUUUUUUAUUUAAAGGAUCCUUAAAAUAAAGAAAAAAUGGAGAAGUUACUCUAGGGAUAA